AUUUGAAGAAGAAUCGGUUGCUAUUUCUUGCAGGUCUAGUGAUUACGUAGAAUGUACAUAGACCAUAUAAGAUGUGUUCCCUCAUUGGAGAUCUCAAAUGACACUAUGGCCUGUUCCUUUCAUCACUGUGGUAUUUUCUAAUGACAGGUUUCUGACAAAUAAAAGGUAAUUUGUUACCUUACCGUUCCUGCCUUCAAAACACUGCCAUGGGAAGUUGUUACAGCCAUCACAAUCCCUCCCUGAAAGUUAGCCAACUUAGCAAUCGGGAUUCGUUUGAACAUUUGUUCAAAACAAACAGUGGAGAGCUGGUGUGGUCCUGCUCUUAUACCAAAUGGCUACAGGGUGUUAAAAAUGUUAGUGGCUUCACUGACAAGACUAACUUCAGCAGUUCCAGAGAUCCACAUCGACGGAAUGGUAUUCUUGUUAAACCUGAUAACACAGAUGGUCAGCAUUUCAGUGUGAAGUUACCUUCAAUGUUUGAAGCUGUAGUCUCCAACAAAACUGCCUCUUGUACAAACUCUGUAGUUAUCAAUGGGCUAAAUCCAUUUACCACUGCUACAACCACUAUGCCAGUCCGCUGCUGGGAUUCUUUGCCUGUCAUGUUCAAAGAGGCUUGUAUUAUUAGUUACCAUGACAACUUAGCUGUACUUCAACUGAACCCAUCCCGAGAAGAUCUCAUGGCUGUAUUCUAUGUAUUGGAUUUAACCCAUCAGUUGGCGCUAGCUGAUUUCAGCAUUGCUUACUAUCUUCGGCGCUGGUAUGAAUGCUACAUAUCGCCAAAAAAGAAAAGGAUUCUGUUGCGACCAGACCAUACCACUCGUGUUCUUGUAAUGCCAGACAAUUAUUUUCUACGCAAAAUGAGAGUUCACCCUUCAAAUGACGUUACUAUAAGUACUGUGUCACCAUCACUUCGUGCCAAGGUACUUACUUUUAAUGCCCAGGCUGGGGACAAUUGCAUUGUUGUGAGCUGGUGCCGGUGUAUCCAGGUACAACAUAUUGAAUCUGGAGAAAUUGUAAAAUCUGUCGAGGGACUUUUAUUACGAGCAGGUAUUCAACAAAUUCGCUCCAGUCAGUCAGGAGAUUUCCUUGCAGUACGCUGUGUCCAUCCUGUCCAUACAAAAGAAUACAAAGUAAAUGUUGUUGGAGUAAUAGACUAUCACAAGCUCGAAUUGCUGAUGACUAUCGAUGUAAAAGGUUGUUACUGGCCAUUUUCAGAUGUAGUUAACCUACAAGUAUUUCCCCGUUUCUCACCCAGUGAAGCUUGCAUUGCUGUUAUGAAAAACUUACCUUACAAACGGCAGGUCUUCACAUAUAAACUGCCUAUCGUUCACCUCAACUUACAAUAUUUAUGUCGCCGAAGGAUUCUCCAUUUAGUUUCAUUAAAGGAUGUCAAACAUUUACCUCUCCCAAGUCGGCUUAUUGAAUACCUAACUUCUUAUAUUGAUGUGUGAGGAAGAUUUUUACCAAACAAGGUUUCUGUUCACAUUAUUCACAGCUGCUAACAUAGUUUUUGGUAUACACUUUCAAGAACGCUGAAUUCAGGAGUGUUUUGAUUCCUCUUGGAACAUUGCACAUCUGCAAGCUCAAGAAAUCCAUGAACACAAUUCGUUUUUCUGCAUUACAGCAAAAAUCUAUAACUCCUUAACAAUUUAGUUAUCACGAAAAUUCUUUUAAAAAAAAAAAAGCAAAAGAACAAAAAUUGGAAUUUAAAAAAAAAAAGAA
Molecule: unclassified non-coding RNA, 1722 nt
Filed under: Octopus sinensis (East Asian common octopus)
Lineage: Eukaryota; Metazoa; Mollusca; Cephalopoda; Octopoda; Octopodidae
Description: uncharacterized LOC115210406, transcript variant X1
Source: RNAcentral